UUAAACGUUUUUUUUAGCCUGGGAAAACCCUGACGAACUUAGGGCAAAUUUGAGAUAGGCUCCGCAAGUCCGCCUGGCCAAGAGCCCAUUCAAGCCCAUUUCCAAUUUUUCCAAAUCGAGGCACCAAUCUCCACCGUUGAGGCGGGCUUUACAGGAUGACGGCAAUCAGCUUUAUAAUUCAUGUU
This is a long non-coding RNA of Etheostoma cragini (Arkansas darter), 185 nucleotides long. RefSeq lists it as uncharacterized. The transcript has 3 exons. The record is from RefSeq and is a predicted model, not a curated record. NCBI's taxonomy places the organism in Eukaryota, Metazoa, Chordata, Actinopteri, Perciformes, Percidae.